Phyllostomus discolor (pale spear-nosed bat) is the source of this 181-nucleotide long non-coding RNA. RefSeq lists it as uncharacterized. The transcript has 3 exons. The record is from RefSeq and is a predicted model, not a curated record. Lineage: Eukaryota; Metazoa; Chordata; Mammalia; Chiroptera; Phyllostomidae.
GUGUGAGUAUGUACAUAGUUAUGAUGAAGCUGCUAAUCAUCAAUUGCCCAUAGCUUCAGUCUUAUGAAUCAUCCAAAUAGUUUCCAUAGAGCAAUGUUCAAGCCUAAUGCAAAAUUUGAUGCAGAUUCGUUGUUCUACUUGCUCAGUAAUUUUGAAUGUAAUGGUCACACAGUACACAUGC